This 287-nucleotide ribosomal RNA is filed under the name Pseudomonas sp. Ch4. Its description in RNAcentral is "partial 16S ribosomal RNA". It matches the Rfam family "Bacterial small subunit ribosomal RNA", at positions 46 to 333 of the family's 1533-position model. The record is from RNAcentral. Lineage: Bacteria; Pseudomonadati; Pseudomonadota; Gammaproteobacteria; Pseudomonadales; Pseudomonadaceae.
AGGCCUAACACAUGCAAGUCGAGCGGUAGAGAGAAGCUUGCUUCUCUUGAGAGCGGCGGACGGGUGAGUAAUGCCUAGGAAUCUGCCUGGUAGUGGGGGAUAACGUCCGGAAACGGACGCUAAUACCGCAUACGUCCUACGGGAGAAAGCAGGGGACCUUCGGGCCUUGCGCUAUCAGAUGAGCCUAGGUCGGAUUAGCUAGUUGGUGAGGUAAUGGCUCACCAAGGCGACGAUCCGUAACUGGUCUGAGAGGAUGAUCAGUCACACUGGAACUGAGACACGGUCCA